AAUAAAGAAGAGUUCAGACAAUCUGGGAAAAUCCUUAUCUUCCAGUUCUAUUGGUUCUAAUUCAACAUACCUGACUUCAAAAUCCAAAUCCACAUCAAACACCUACCAUAAAAGGAACAGCCAUUCUGAUAAUGUCUUCUAAGAACAUAUCCUCACCAGUGGUCGAACAUUCAAGGUAAAGUGUAUAUCACAUUUGCUGAAUGCAUGAUUUCCAAGCGCUUGCAUAAGGACACUUGCAUGAAGUUUGAAUCAGCA
This 255-nucleotide long non-coding RNA is filed under the name Pseudonaja textilis. RNAcentral's name for it is "lncRNA (ENSPTXG00000003756.1)". Lineage: Eukaryota; Metazoa; Chordata; Lepidosauria; Squamata; Elapidae. The record is from RNAcentral.